CCGAUUGAUGCUGAGGAUCUUACUGAAAAGAUCCUUGACGGUCUUGAUGAUGAAUACAAAUCUAUUGUUGACAUCAUCAAUGGCCGCGAUACACCUAUUUCCUUUCAUGAGCUCCAUGAAAAGCUGAUCAACA
Molecule: small nucleolar RNA, 133 nt
Organism: Tripterygium wilfordii
Lineage: Eukaryota; Viridiplantae; Streptophyta; Magnoliopsida; Celastrales; Celastraceae
Product: small nucleolar RNA Z247
Exons: 1
Source: RefSeq, a predicted model, not a curated record